Molecule: ribosomal RNA, 478 nt
Filed under: uncultured bacterium
Lineage: Bacteria
Description: partial 16S ribosomal RNA
Rfam family: Bacterial small subunit ribosomal RNA
Source: RNAcentral
UGGGGAAUAUUGCACAAUGGGCGCAAGCCUGAUGCAGCGACGCCGCGUGAGGGAUGGAGGCCUUCGGGUUGUAAACCUCUUUCGCCAGUGAAGCAGGCCUGCUCCUUGUGGGUGGGUUGACGGUAGCUGGAUAAGAAGCGCCGGCUAACUACGUGCCAGCAGCCGCGGUAAUACGUAGGGCGCGAGCGUUGUCCGGAAUUAUUGGGCGUAAAGAGCUCGUAGGCGGCUGGUCGCGUCUGUCGUGAAAUCCUCUGGCUUAACUGGGGGCUUGCGGUGGGUACGGGCCGGCUUGAGUGCGGUAGGGGAGACUGGAACUCCUGGUGUAGCGGUGGAAUGCGCAGAUAUCAGGAAGAACACCGGUGGCGAAGGCGGGUCUCUGGGCCGUUACUGACGCUGAGGAGCGAAAGCGUGGGGAGCGAACAGGAUUAGAUACCCUGGUAGUCCACGCCGUAAACGUUGGGCACUAGGUGUGGGGGCC